AGCCCUGAGGUGUUUUACAUAUUAGAUUGCAAAUCUAAAGAAGUAGGCUAGGUACCUACCGGGGCUU
RNAcentral lists this transfer RNA (67 nucleotides) under Lutjanus erythropterus (crimson snapper). RNAcentral describes it as "tRNA-Cys". It matches the Rfam family "tRNA". From Rfam's summary of the family: Transfer RNA (tRNA) molecules are approximately 80 nucleotides in length. Their secondary structure includes four short double-helical elements and three loops (D, anti-codon, and T loops). Lineage: Eukaryota; Metazoa; Chordata; Actinopteri; Lutjaniformes; Lutjanidae. The record is from RNAcentral. RNAcentral also lists the same sequence under 1 other name.